RNAcentral lists this ribosomal RNA (233 nucleotides) under uncultured Actinomycetales bacterium. Its description in RNAcentral is "partial 16S ribosomal RNA". It matches the Rfam family "Bacterial small subunit ribosomal RNA", at positions 97 to 334 of the family's 1533-position model. Lineage: Bacteria; Bacillati; Actinomycetota; Actinomycetes; Actinomycetales. The record is from RNAcentral.
GGCGAACGGGUGAGUAACACGUGGGUGAUCUGCCUUGCACUUCGGGAUAAGCUUGGGAAACUGGGUCUAAUACCGGAUAGGACAGCUGUUUAGUGUCAGUUGUGGAAAGUUUUUCGGUGCAAGAUGAGCCCGCGGCCUAUCAGCUUGUUGGUGGGGUAAUGGCCUGCCAAGGCGACGACGGGUAGCCGGCCUGAGAGGGUGGACGGCCACAUUGGGACUGAGAUACGGCCCAG